Molecule: ribosomal RNA, 200 nt
Filed under: uncultured Thiobacillus sp.
Lineage: Bacteria; Pseudomonadati; Pseudomonadota; Betaproteobacteria; Nitrosomonadales; Thiobacillaceae
Description: partial 16S ribosomal RNA
Rfam family: Bacterial small subunit ribosomal RNA
Source: RNAcentral
CGUCAAGUCCUCAUGGCCCUUAUGGGUAGGGCUUCACACGUCAUACAAUGGUCGGUACAGAGGGUUGCCAAGCCGCGAGGCGGAGCCAAUCCCACAAAGCCGAUCGUAGUCCGGAUUGUUCUCUGCAACUCGAGAGCAUGAAGUCGGAAUCGCUAGUAAUCGCAGGUCAGCAUACUGCGGUGAAUACGUUCCCGGGUCUU